Molecule: long non-coding RNA, 2985 nt
Organism: Macaca mulatta (Rhesus monkey)
Lineage: Eukaryota; Metazoa; Chordata; Mammalia; Primates; Cercopithecidae
Source: Ensembl
GGAAUUUAGUUUGUUUUUCUAAGUAUAUUUUGUGAUAAAUUUUUAAAUAUUUGGGCUGAAAUUUUAUAUUGAAUUAGCACACAGACUGUAGGAAAAACUCUAGGGUAAUUUUGAUAAUUGAUGCAGAGGAAUGAAGUUUAACUUCCUGGCAGAGCAUCUUUCUGUUCAUUUCAUUUCACUUUAAUCCAAUUAAAAAUAUACAUACUAGUCUCCACCCUUGAACAUUAAUGGAUUGACUCAUUUUUUCAGGUACCUGUCAUGUACGGGGCACUGGAGAUACGAAACUAAUUAGGAUUGUUUGUCUGAUCUAAAUAAGGAGUAUUCUUCUAGACAGAUAGAGGAGGGAGAAAGAGAGGUAGACAGAGAGAGAGACACACGGGGAGAGGCUGAGAGAAGGAGAGAGAACGUGGGGCUUAGAGCAGGAGAGUAGUCUGGAAGAUGCUGUAACUCAGCACAGACUUGUUUGAAGAGAAGUCAAGACAGAUUUUAGCAUGGGAAACUCUUGACAGCAUCCAGGGAUAGCAUCAGUGCAGUGAUUUUUCUUGAGUACACAUUUAUACAAGAAGGAGAGAGACAUCAUGGGCCGAUGAACCAAUUUCUACAGAGACCAGUAGGCGUGAAGCAGCAUGAUAAACCCAGCGAGUACAAGUCUAGUGUGAGGCUGGAAUUAAGAUUCACGGAGGUCAGCUGUGGGGGGUGUGAGAUUGGAGGGGACAGACAGGGAUUGUGUUACAAAAAGAUUUGUAUGCCAUGAAAAGUAAUUUAGUUCCAUCUUGUAGGCAACAGAUCGUGGAUGUGUCUUAAGUUACAGAAGAUUCUAACCAGACUUUCAUAGAAGGAUUCUUCCUGUUGUGGUGGCAUCGGUGGAUAGUUCUUUUCUAAGAGUUCUGCUACAAAUGGAAGACUGAAAACUACCUGGGAGAAAUUAAAAAACAAGCAAACACAUGAACAAAAGUCCAUGCAUCAGGGGAAACAUGCCACCAUCACCUCUCGGGCGUGAACUCCUCUGCUUCACUCCGUCAGUUCCAACCCGGCUCACUCUUUGGAUUCUUAGAGCAUCAAACAGCCAGGAGCAACCCCGCCUGUGCCUGCAGACUUUGGGGCUUGUUGGUUCCUGUAUCGGGAGCGUGCUCUCCCUUCUUUCAAGUUUUUUCUCAUCACCUUCUUGGUAAGUUCCCUUCUGAUUAUGUCAUUAAGAUUACAACCCACCCUCCGCACUCCGUGGCCUGCCUUUGCUUUAUCUUUCUACUUAGUGUGAAUUGCCGCCUGAAACAUGAGGUGUUUUUUCGACUCAGUACUUACAUCCUUCUCCUCCCAAAGCUGGAAUUAAGAUCCAUGAAGGCGGGGGCUCUGUCUGUUUUGUUCAUGUUGCCCUCCCUGCACUGAGAACAGUACAGGCACAGGAAGGACUGCCAAUCAUUGUGUGUUGGGUUAAUGAAUGAAACAAUAAAUAAAUGAAUACCAAGCCAAAAUAGAAAAAUUCUUAAAAUGGUCAGUUUAAUUUUCGUUGCUUCUGCCUCACAAAUUAAGUCAGGAAAACAUGGCUACGUGUUGUCGUGGUUUUCAUAUUGCUCCCUAGAACUUUUGAAAAUGUCAAAGCUAUGAAGAUAGCAGUGGUGCUUGGGCAGUAACGGACCCUACGUGAAUUUGACAGGUUUAAUAUUUUAAAUGUUAACAGGCAAAGAUACCACCUGGAGGGUGAAAUAAUAAUUGCUAUGAUUCUCAUAUUUCAAGUUGUUUUAUUUUAUUUAUAAAAUGAAACAGUAACUUCAGUUCAGAAGACCCAUGUUUUUCUAUUUCACCAAGAUCCUUCAAAGUUCUGUUGAAAAACAACCAAUCAAAUAAAGUAUGAAUUUUUAGCAAAAGCACCCAUGUCAUUUUACAAAAUUUAUUUUAUUAGUUCAUCAGCGCAUGAGAGGUGACUGUCAUUUUGCAUAAGCUCGUUAUUACGAGUAGAAACUACUCAGCUUCAGCAUCAGAAUGGCUCUCUCAGGGACACUUAGAGCUGCGAUAUCUCAUCCUGAUGGAUUUCCAAGCACGAGCCUUGAAACAAUCAUGCAUUUCCCAGUUGCAAUUAAACUGGGUUCUCUACAGAAACUAAGGAAGAAACAGCAUUGAGGAUGUUACCUACAUGUAGGGACAUACAUUGUUCUGUACCGAAAUGAACACUAAGAGACUGGAGACCAAUUUUAGUGGCCUUAUUGCACCACUUCUUAGUUUCUUAUUUUUCGAUAUGUUAAUUAAUGGUUUUGAACUCAGUUUCCAAAACAGGGAUAUUAAGAAUUAGCCCAUGUGAAGCUCAGGGGAUGGGCUCAAAGAUUCCUUAAGGUACAGUUUACCUCUAAGUUCCCCUCAGCUUUUCAUUCUCCAGGAAGCCCUUCUUUCUCUCCUGUUGUCUGCACAUGUGUGUCAGGAUCCAUGGAGAAGACACAUGGCAGUAGGGGACCUUGUCCACCUCACAGGUUGUCCCCUGAGUCACUGGCGUUGGAGUUAUUGAGGGUCAAACAUCUGGUUCUAUUUUCUUACAAGACUUGACUAAGGGAACUGUCUUUUAGAAGGCCCAAGCUCAUUGCUUGAAACCAAAACAGUUAAAUAAGCUGAUUUAUAUGAUGUAAAUUAUUUUAUCCUCUGUAUCUUAAAGUAUAAUGUUAGAAUUGAUUUGUUGGCUGGGUGGGGUGGCAUGCCUCUGUAAUUGCAACACUUCAGGAGGUUGAGGCAGGAGGAUCAUGGGAGCCCAGGAAGUCGAGGUUGCAGGGAGCUGUGUUCAUGUCACUGCACUCCAGCCUGGGCCACAGAGUGAGACCCUGUCUCUCUCUCUCUCUCCCUCUUUCUACAUACAUAUAUGAAUUAUGUAUAUGUAAAUUAUAUAUUUGUUGAGGAAAUAAAUAAAUUCCAGUUCUCAGAAGACAGCAUUCUUUCUAAAGCAGUUUUUCUGAGGAAAUCACUUUUUCACGCAGUUGAAAUAUAGUGUUUAAUUCCUGUGCU